This 410-nucleotide ribosomal RNA is filed under the name Escherichia coli. RNAcentral's name for it is "partial 23S ribosomal RNA". It matches the Rfam family "Bacterial large subunit ribosomal RNA", at positions 1 to 451 of the family's 2925-position model. Lineage: Bacteria; Pseudomonadati; Pseudomonadota; Gammaproteobacteria; Enterobacterales; Enterobacteriaceae. The record is from RNAcentral.
GUUAAGCGACUAAGCGUACACGGUGGAUGCCCUGGCAGUCAGAGGCGAUGAAGGACGUGCUAAUCUGCGAUAAGCGUCGGUAAGGUGAUAUGAACCGUUAUAACCGGCGAUUUCCGAAUGGGGAAACCCAGUGUGAUUCGUCACACUAUCAUUAACUGAAUCCAUAGGUUAAUGAGGCGAACCGGGGGAACUGAAACAUCUAAGUACCCCGAGGAAAAGAAAUCAACCGAGAUUCCCCCAGUAGCGGCGAGCGAACGGGGAGCAGCCCAGAGCCUGAAUCAGUGUGUGUGUUAGUGGAAGCGUCUGGAAAGGCGCGCGAUACAGGGUGACAGCCCCGUACACAAAAAUGCACAUACUGUGAGCUCGAUGAGUAGGGCGGGACACGUGGUAUCCUGUCUGAAUAUGGGGGG